GUUCUUGUUGUUCUUGAUGAUGUGGAUGAUUGGAAGCAGUUGGAAAUCUUUGUCAAUGGAUCUGAUUGGUUCGGUCCAGGAAGUAGGAUCAUCAUCACCACUCGCGAUAAACACUUGCUAGAAGCACAUGGAGUGAAGAAUAUAUAUCAGGUUUCAUAUCUGAAAAAUGAUCAAGCCCUUCAGCUGUUUAGUCAAUAUGCAUUCAAACAAAACAAUCCCAGAAUGGAGUACUUAGAGCUCUCAGAACGGUUUUCAUUUUAUGCUAAAGGUCUACCCUUGGCUCUGAAGGUGUUGGGUUCUUUUCUCAACGAUAAAAGCAUACUCGAGUGGCAAACUGUUCAAGAUAAGCUCACAAUAAUUCCUGACUUGAGAAUUCAUGAUGUGCUAAGAAUAAGCUUUGAUGACUUGGAUGAUACACAAAGGGAUGUAUUUCUUGAUAUUGCAUGC
This 447-nucleotide unclassified non-coding RNA is filed under the name Hevea brasiliensis (rubber tree). Lineage: Eukaryota; Viridiplantae; Streptophyta; Magnoliopsida; Malpighiales; Euphorbiaceae. The record is from RNAcentral.